Aphis gossypii (cotton aphid) is the source of this 1609-nucleotide long non-coding RNA. RefSeq lists it as uncharacterized. The record is from RefSeq and is a predicted model, not a curated record. Lineage: Eukaryota; Metazoa; Arthropoda; Insecta; Hemiptera; Aphididae. The transcript is spliced from 3 exons.
CGGGAUGUUACCGGAGAACUGUUCGGCUGUCUAAUCAUGAAACACGGCGAGCGACGUUCUUAUCAAUUUACGUUUUAUUCGUUCAUUUUGAGUCACAGAUAUAAUAAUAUUAUACUAUAAUUGCACUAAUAUAAUUAUAUAGUAUAUAAUAUCUGUGUUUUGAGCACGAUUUUUUUGAAUCUUUAAUCUUGGUUUUAAGUACAAUUUACGAAUACAUUUUAUGCACCCACUCUUGAUACCAUGGUCAUCGUUAUCUCAGAGAUAAGGUCAAGUCAAAUACUAUAGAUUUAAAAUAGAAUCUACUAAUAUAAUAAUUUGUAUUAAUCUUUGUGUAAUACUUUUCUCAUUGUACAUAACUUAUUAAAUAUUUUGUAAAAAAAAUUAACCAUUUUUCCACGUUUAUUAAUAUCAUAAAACUUUUACUACACCAAGAUAUGAAUAACUAGGGAUAUCAAAUUAUUAUAAAAACAAUCAACAAAUCUUCUAGUACCCAUUACUCUGUGGAACAAACCUUGUUUUAGGAAUCCAGUUUAUAUAAUUCUUACAGAUAAUACACCAAAUACGCUAUAUUUGAAUUAUUUUGCAAAAAUAAUCUCUAUAAUUUUGGAUAACAAAAUCACUAACACAAUCACCCUAGAAUUUCUAGACUCUAGAUCAAGAUGCUUUGGUUGCAGUUCGUAAUGGAGUUUUUACUUUCUAGUGAACUUUCAAAUGAUCAACCAGCAAUUAUAAACUUGUCAGUUUUUACAAUCAUGCAAAAAAAACUUUGUUUACUUGAAGAAUUAUCAGUUAAAGAUCGUCAGAACAAAAAUAUUGUUAAAGAAAUUAAAACUAGGUAAAGUUCAAAAUCAAAUUACUUAUCAUUUACCUAUUUAAUCAGACAGUUUUAUAAAAUUAAUUAUAUUUUACUUAUCAACAACCUUAAAAAAGUAAUUCACUUUUUAUUCUUAAAUUAUUACUUUUGUAACAAAAACAUGAUAUUUGAGAAUGAAAAAUAAAAUUUAUGUGCCUAAUAUAAACUGUAUAUACUAUAUGAUAUACAUAUUUAUUGAACUAGCCUUAUAAAUAUAAUUUAGCUUUGUCUAUUCUUCCUAAUCCCUGAUAAUAUUUUGCUGUGGUCACUAAUAUUCAAUUUAUAUUGUGGUUAUCAAUAAAAAAAUUAAACUGUUUCUAGUUUGCUAUAAUAUAUUUUUAUUAAAAAUUAUAAUGAGAUAUUUUAUAAAAUAAAAAUAAAUAUGACUUACUAUUAAUAAUAAUUAAACUUACAAUAAUAAUAAAUUUAUACCAGAAAAUAAGUAUAUUUUGUAAAUGGAAGGUUUUUCACUUAUCUAUUUAUAAUAUAGCAUAAACAAAAACAAAUAGUUUUGUACUAUUAUUAUUGCUACCUAAAAUCAAUGAUUUUAAGUCAUCUAAUAAAUUUAAAAAAAAUUGAAAACUGCAUUAAUACAUCGUACAAAAUACAAAUCAAUUUAUUAAACACAAAUAAAUAAUAAUAUAAUAGGUACUCUUAUUUAUUUUAUUUUAUAAUUUAUUAUAUCAAAUCAAAAUUAGCUUAUGGUUGAUAAUAGAUAAUACGCUCAGAAUAUUAAAAAAAAAAAAAAAAAAAAAA